This 76-nucleotide transfer RNA is filed under the name bacterium. RNAcentral describes it as "tRNA-Asp". It matches the Rfam family "tRNA". Rfam says of the family: Transfer RNA (tRNA) molecules are approximately 80 nucleotides in length. Their secondary structure includes four short double-helical elements and three loops (D, anti-codon, and T loops). Further hydrogen bonds mediate the characteristic L-shaped molecular structure. tRNAs have two regions of fundamental functional importance: the anti-codon, which is responsible for specific mRNA codon recognition, and the 3' end, to which the tRNAs corresponding amino acid is attached (by aminoacyl-tRNA synthetases). tRNAs cope with the degeneracy of the genetic code in two manners: having more than one tRNA (with a specific anti-codon) for a particular amino acid; and 'wobble' base-pairing, i.e. permitting non-standard base-pairing at the 3rd anti-codon position. The record is from RNAcentral.
GGCAAUAUAGCUUAACCGGAAGAGUACUUCCCUGUCAAGGAAGGGGGUGAGAGUUCAAAUCUCUCUAUUGUCGCCA